Molecule: long non-coding RNA, 457 nt
Organism: Ctenopharyngodon idella (grass carp)
Lineage: Eukaryota; Metazoa; Chordata; Actinopteri; Cypriniformes; Xenocyprididae
Exons: 3
Source: RefSeq, a predicted model, not a curated record
ACACCUUAUCAUGCAUAAUUCAGCACAAUCCCCAGUCAUACACGAUUGGAUAGACUGGCUGUCUGUUUGGUAGUGCUUGUUUGUAGAGACUGUGUCCAGCUCAAGGGGUUGCAUUCACUUUUAUGAGUUUUUCUACUUUUAAAACUCACUUAAACAUGAGAGGAAAUAUUUUAAUUGCCUCUGUGAUUUUGAUGUCUUUGUUUUGUUUGGGACAAACACUUGAGUGCUUUCGGUGUGAUCUUGGAUUCUGGAAUCUGUGUUACACCACUAAGACAAAUUGCAGUGAUGAUGAGUUGUGUUAUGUGGGAAUUGGUAAAGCAGCUUCUGUCCUGGAUAUAAAGGUGAUGGGUUGUCUUCCCAUGGAGUCAUGCAACAAGACCACAGUUGUAGAGUUUCUUGCCAAUAAGACCUUAUACACCAUGAAGACCAUGUGUUGUGAGGAAGACUUCUGCAACUC